This 274-nucleotide ribosomal RNA is filed under the name uncultured bacterium. Its description in RNAcentral is "partial 16S ribosomal RNA". It matches the Rfam family "Bacterial small subunit ribosomal RNA", at positions 523 to 796 of the family's 1533-position model. The record is from RNAcentral.
AUACGGAGGGUGCAAGCGUUGUUCGGAAUCACUGGGCGUAAAGGGCGCGCAGGCGGUUUGAUAAGUCAGAUGUGAAAGCCCACGGCUCAACCGUGGAAGUGCAUUUGAAACUGUCAGACUUGAGUACUAGAGGGGAAAGUGGAAUUCCCGGUGUAGAGGUGAAAUUCGUAGAUAUCGGGAGGAAUACCGGUGGCGAAGGCGACUUUCUGGCUAGAUACUGACGCUGAGGCGCGAAAGCGAGGGGAGCAAACAGGAUUAGAUACCCUAGUAGUCC